Molecule: ribosomal RNA, 659 nt
Filed under: Gaertneriomyces semiglobifer
Lineage: Eukaryota; Fungi; Chytridiomycota; Chytridiomycetes; Spizellomycetales; Spizellomycetaceae
Description: LSU rRNA
Rfam family: Eukaryotic large subunit ribosomal RNA
Source: RNAcentral
AACUAACCAAGGAUUCCCCUAGUAACUGCGAGUGAAGAGGGAAAAGCUCAAAUUUGAAAUCUCACUGGUUUACCAGUGCGAAAUUGUAGGUUUAGAGAAGUGUUUUCGGGGGCAGCUCGGGUAUAAGUCCUUUGGAAUGAGGCGUCAUAGAGGGUGAGAAUCCCGUAUAUGAUCCGAUGUCUGCUCCUAUGUGAUACACUUUCCAAGAGUCAGGUAGUUUGGGAUUGCUGCCUAAAAUGGGUGGUAAAUACCAUCUAAAGCUAAAUAUUGGCGAGAGACCGAUAGCGAACAAGUACCGUGAGGGAAAGAUGAAAAGAACUUUGAAAAGAGAGUUAAACAGUACGUGAAAUUGCCAAAAGGGAAACGCUUGUAACCAGUAUUGUGUGCAGGUAAUCAACUUUACUUACCGAAAGGGACAGUGGAGUGCACUUGCCUGUACACAAGUCAGCAUCAGUUUGAACUCGAGGGAAAUGUCCAUAGGAAGGUGACUUGGAUUCGUUCAAGUGUUAUAGCCUGUGGUCGAGCCUUGAUUUAGACUGAGGUCUAUAGUGUUAUUUGGGUUGCUGGUCGCCUGUUGAAACUUGGCUGCAGACAGCUUGCUGACUGUGAUCAAACGUAGAUAGCCCGGCUAGUGUAUCACACCAACACUUUGGAUGCUG